Molecule: non-coding RNA, 183 nt
Filed under: Lotharella globosa
Lineage: Eukaryota; Cercozoa; Chlorarachniophyceae
Source: RNAcentral
AAAUCAAAAACAAAAAGUGAAAAAUAUGCAACGCAAUCGAUACAUGUAAACAAUAUAUUUUUUUCGUCUUGUUCCUAGGUCGUUUGUUUUUUGCUUUCGUUGCUUUCUGCUUGGUUGCGUACUGUUUUAUGUCACGAAAGAAGAGGAUGAAAAGAGAGAGGGGAAGCAACAAAGGAGGAGAGA